GAUGAACGCUGGCGGCGUGCCUAAUACAUGCAAGUCGAGCGAACAGACGAGGAGCUUGCUCCUCUGACGUUAGCGGCGGACGGGUGAGUAACACGUGGAUAACCUACCUAUAAGACUGGGAUAACUUCGGGAAACCGGAGCUAAUACCGGAUAAUAUAUUGAACCGCAUGGUUCAAUAGUGAAAGACGGUUUUGCUGUCACUUAUAGAUGGAUCCGCGCCGCAUUAGCUAGUUGGUAAGGUAACGGCUUACCAAGGCAACGAUGCGUAGCCGACCUGAGAGGGGGAUCGGCCACCCUGGAACUGAGACACGGUCCAGACUCCUACGGGAGGCAGCAGUAGGGAAUCUGCCGCAAUGGGCGAAAGCCUGACGGAGCAACGCCGCGUGAGUGAUGAAGGUCUUCGGAUCGUAAAACUCUGUUAUUAGGGAAGAACAAAUGUGUAAGUAACUAUGCACGUCUUGACGGUACCUAAUCAGAAAGCCACGGCUAACUACGUG
RNAcentral lists this ribosomal RNA (497 nucleotides) under uncultured bacterium. RNAcentral describes it as "partial 16S ribosomal RNA". It matches the Rfam family "Bacterial small subunit ribosomal RNA", at positions 28 to 507 of the family's 1533-position model. The record is from RNAcentral.